RNAcentral lists this ribosomal RNA (253 nucleotides) under uncultured bacterium. RNAcentral describes it as "partial 16S ribosomal RNA". It matches the Rfam family "Bacterial small subunit ribosomal RNA", at positions 524 to 776 of the family's 1533-position model. The record is from RNAcentral.
UACGUAGGGGGCAAGCGUUAUCCGGAUUUACUGGGUGUAAAGGGAGCGUAGACGGCUGUGCAAGCCAGAUGUGAAAGCCAGGGGCUCAACCCCGGGACUGCAUUUGGAACUGCGUGGCUUGAGUGUCGGAGAGGCAGGCGGAAUUCCUAGUGUAGCGGUGAAAUGCGUAGAUAUUAGGAGGAACACCAGUGGCGAAGGCGGCCUGCUGGACGAUGACUGACGUUGAGGCUCGAAAGCGUGGGGAGCAAACAGG